RNAcentral lists this ribosomal RNA (225 nucleotides) under uncultured Staphylococcus sp. Its description in RNAcentral is "partial 16S ribosomal RNA". It matches the Rfam family "Bacterial small subunit ribosomal RNA", at positions 138 to 355 of the family's 1533-position model. The record is from RNAcentral. Lineage: Bacteria; Bacillati; Bacillota; Bacilli; Caryophanales; Staphylococcaceae.
CUGGGAUAACUUCGGGAAACCGGAGCUAAUACCGGAUAAUAUAUUGAACCGCAUGGUUCAAAUAGUGAAAGACGGUUUUGCUGUCACUUAUAGAUGGAUCCGCGCUGCAUUAGCUAGUUGGUAAGGUAACGGCUUACCAAGGCAACGAUGCGUAGCCUACCUGAGAGGGUGAUCGGCCACACUGGAACUGAGACACGGUCCAGACUCCUACGGGAGGCAGCAGCA